This 254-nucleotide ribosomal RNA is filed under the name uncultured bacterium. RNAcentral's name for it is "partial 16S ribosomal RNA". It matches the Rfam family "Bacterial small subunit ribosomal RNA", at positions 524 to 776 of the family's 1533-position model. The record is from RNAcentral.
UACGGGGGGAGCAAGCGUUGUUCGGAUUUACUGGGCGUAAAGGGCGCGUAGGCGGCCACCGCAGGUCGACUGUGAAAUCUCCGGGCUUAACUCGGAAAGGUCAGCCGAUACUGCGGGGCUAGAGUGCAGAAGGGGCAACUGGAAUUCUCGGUGUAGCGGUGAAAUGCGUAGAUAUCGAGAGGAACACCUGCGGCGAAGGCGGGUUGCUGGGCUGACACUGACGCUGAGGCGCGAAAGCUAGGGGAGCGAACGGG